UCGACGAGACCUUCGGGUCUAGUGGCGCACGGGUGCGUAACGCGUGGGAAUCUGCCCUUGGGUUCGGGAUAACAGUUGGAAACGACUGCUAAUACCGGAUGAUGACUUCGGUCCAAAGAUUUAUCGCCCAGGGAUGAGCCCGCGUCGGAUUGGCUAGUUGGUGAGGUAAAAGCUCACCAAGGCGACGAUCCGUAGCUGGUCUGAGAGGAUGAUCAGCCACACUGGGACUGAGACACGGCCCAAACUCCUACGGGAGGCAGCAGUGGGGAAUAUUGGACAAUGGGCGAAAGCCUGAUCCAGCAAUGCCGCGUGAGUGAUGAAGGCCUUAGGGUUGUAAAGCUCUUUUACCCGGGAUGAUAAUGACAGUACCGGGAGAAUAAGCCCCGGCUAACUCCGUGCCAGCAGCCGCGGUAAUACGGAGGGGGCUAGCGUUGUUCGGAAUUACUGGGCGUAAAGCGCACGUAGGCGGCUUUGUAAGUUAGAGGUGAAAGCCCGGGGCUCAACUCCGGAACUGCCUUUAAGACUGCAUCGCUAGAACGUC
This 541-nucleotide ribosomal RNA is filed under the name uncultured bacterium. Its description in RNAcentral is "bacterial SSU rRNA". It matches the Rfam family "Bacterial small subunit ribosomal RNA", at positions 62 to 650 of the family's 1533-position model. The record is from RNAcentral.